CCAAACAUUAAUUAAAAUAAUGGAAACACCUGACAUUUAAUUUUUAUUAUAGCAAAUAGCAUUUGACCAUGCACAACAAAAUAUUUUCCAAACCUCCAUGUAUUCUACAAAUUUAUAAUCAGAUCUUGGUCUCAUUUUUUUCCACAUAAAGUAAAUGCCAACUAAUGGCCAGUCAAGCAAAUUACACUUGUCCCUAGUACAGCCUACAAGAGACACAAGUGGAGGCAUGCAUGCAAGCCUAACCACGCAUGCAUGCCAGAUGUAAUGCCUCUCCAAACCGACAUAGCUACUAACCCCACUAUAAAUAGGAGCCAUUCCUUUCACUGUGGUCCAUUCCACCUCACACACACACAUACACUGGAGUACCACCACCACUUGCCUUUUCACCUUCUGCCACACUGCUGUCCUUCACUGCGGUGAAGCCCUUUGGGUCGCAUGCGCCAUCAGGUACUAAUCAAGUACCUUGUUGUGUUAGCCCUUCUUGCUUGACUUCUUGUCUAUCUUCACCUCGGUUUGAAUCAGUCCAUGAGCAUCUAUUCACCUUGAUCUAUUUAUCUUGCGGUAAAAAGAACAAAAUGUUUGCGUAAACACCCAAGUUAGUCAAAACUAAUUAGAUCAAUUGCAAAAGCUUGUAAAAGUUUCUGUGAAUGACAUCUAUGGCUUGUACUAGAUCUAACAUGCCAAGAAUCAAAUCCUAAGUACUAGUAACUUGCUAAGACAUGUAUGUGUGUAUCCAAAAGAUCAAUCUUCCUGUGUAUACUACCUUGUUCUAAUUAUUAAUCCCUGCCAAUCUGUAGCAAAAAUUGAGUGAUUGAUGUUUAUAAUCUACUCACAAGUAAUUAAUUUUGGAGUUUCACUGCCACUAUUUGCUUCUAUAUGGUGUUCAAGGAUGAGUAGCACUAGUUAGGAACAGCAUUUAGAUCUAAUCAGUAGCAAUACCAUGACCACGCCAUAGAUUAAAUCUUGAUUAAUCUCAUGGCCUUGAGAUAAACAAAGAGAAAGAAGGCAAUAUGGCUGAGUGGGCAAUAGUAGGGCCUGAGAUAAAAUGAACACUAUAUGCACACCCACGUUGACAUCUAGCAGGCACUCGAUGUGAAAUUUGGAACACUUAUAGAGAAGGAAUCAGAAUUAGUACUUACCAAUAGUAGCAGUAGGAUGUGGCUAGUCCACACCGUUAGCAGCAGAGCCAUGCGACCGAGCAGCGCCGGUGAAGCCGCACACGCCCGACGCCCGUGGCUGCACGCCUCGUGCGUGUGGCUGCACUGGGGGAGGAUGUAGGCAUGGAGAUGUCGUUGCCGCUGCAGCCGGUGGCAAGCCCACCGGACCUGAAUUAGGCGGCACUAGGAUUGAUUGGUGGCGAUGUUUUUGGCGGCGGCGGAUAAAAUAAAUAGGGGGAAAUGGUAGAGGGAGACGAGGAGAAUCUGUAGGUGUCCACCGUGUCGCCGGAGAUGCCCGGACGGGGCAGAUCGAGGCGGCGGCGGCCAUGCUCUGUUCUUGGGGAGAGAGAGAUAGGUGGGUGGCUGGUUCUGUUCAGGGGAUAGCAGAGAAGACGAGGAGAGGAACGAGCUGGGUUCAACGAGUAAAGUACUAGUAGUGCAGGCUACUGUUUCCUUUUUACUUAUCAUUUUUUUACUCUCUAGACUGGAUGGCAUACGUGCAUGCUACUCUGAUUUGGAUGGUUUGAUGCAUUUUAUCUCUCAAUGAAACACUAGGACGUAUCACAACCUAGUUAAUUAAUUAUGGCUUGCCCAACAUGGCCGUGUUGCUGGAUCUUUAGAUUUUAAAUUAGGAAAUAUAAACAUGGUUGUGAAAUAAUUAUCAGGAGCCGAUCUCGGAUCCGUAGGAGCCACGCCCGGUGGUUCCGAGUUGGUCGAAGCACUAUUCGGCACGUCGUCAUCUCCUUGACCAUGUCUUGAUAAAUGUUUUCCGGGCUAUGGGUCAUUUCCAAAAUUUUGCAUAAGAUUUUAAAAUAAAUAUUUUUCAUAAAUAAAAUGAAAUUUGGAUUAGGUGGAUCCACUGAUUUGGCAAUUGGACCAGAUCAGGUGAAGCAUCUGUAUUAAGUAGUUGUGACCCGGGUAGGGUUACAAUAUAAAUAAAUAUUUGGUGGGUAUGGGAGCUCAUGUUGGUGAAAGCAACCCAGGGAGGGUCGGCUUGGAUGGCGGGCUCCUCUACAUAGGGUAUCACAUUAGGACACAACCAACUGGCGCUUACUUCAAAAGCGGCGCAAACCGUACUGACCAUAGACCUGGAAUGGGACGGGCUGAACCAACUACCCAUGCCAAGUAGCUGCCUCUGCAUGGGUGAGAAGGUGGCUGUAGCCGGGUAGGUACAAUCACCCUAGGGCGGGACCGCCGGUCAGGGGUCUCGACCCGCGGGCCUUUAGUAAGGCAAGGUGGAAAAGCAGAGGUAGUGUACGGGCUGGUUAAAGGUUCUGGUUCCUUGGUCUAGUCGUGUGCACGGGUAGCGCAUGGACGACUUGGACCAAGUGAUGCUAUGGGUAAAGCAGUACACCUCUGAUCAGAGUAAAUGUGAUAUCACUCCCAGCUUCCGGGUUUGGAAGUGCGUCGUGUGGGUUUUCCUCUGACAUAGGAUGUAAGAUCCCACGUCGCUCUGUCGCCAGUAGAUUUUAUAAAUAAAAUUUGGUUUUCAACAAAAUGGGCUAAGGGAAAAUAUUUUUACCUAGAAAGUAUUUUGAGCUAAUGGCUCGGUGGUUGUAGCCGUGGCCGGUAAAGUUAUUCCUCUGUAAAGACUCUUGCAUCCACUUUUCCCGGCGACUUGCGGAGUACGUAUUUUAUAUGUGCUCAGCUGCACUUAUGUUGUUUUUCAGAACAAGAGAGUUAUGAGAACUCUGAGGUGAUAGAGAAUGGUACUUAUGAUGAAUCUGGUCAUCUUAAUGACUUCGGUUAUUCGGAAGUGGAGUAUGUUUAUGAGGAAGUCGACAAUCAAGGCUAUGAAGAGUAGAUGCCCUCCAUGGUUGGUUUAGAAGGCACGUAACUAGAAGUGGAUGACGAUCUAUCGUCAUGGUCGCUUAGGCUUAGUCGACACUUGAGGUGUCAAUGUAAUAAAAGCUUGCCUACUCAUGGCAGCUGCACCGUCUUGUACAUGAUACUGUUCUCCUUCACUGAUCCUAGCGCAACUCUGAAGUGACAGCUUCCGUUACGCCUGACUCUGUCGGACGUAACGGGGCAUCACAAUAAGUUCGACCGCUGUCAUGUGAUCCAUUCCCGGAUCACUAUUGUACCCCUUGACUAACUCAUGGCAAGGCACACUUCAGGUGCGGUACACAGCAUAGCA
Molecule: long non-coding RNA, 3294 nt
Filed under: Triticum aestivum (bread wheat)
Lineage: Eukaryota; Viridiplantae; Streptophyta; Magnoliopsida; Poales; Poaceae
Description: long non-coding RNA (TAES_LNC018034)
Source: RNAcentral